UGGGGAAUCUUGCGCAAUGGGCGAAAGCCUGACGCAGCGACGCCGCGUGCGGGAAGAAGGCCUUCGGGUUGUAAACCGCUUUCAGGAGGGACGAAGCCACUCGGGUGAAUAGCCCAGAGGGUGACGGUACCUUCAGAAGAAGCCCCGGCUAACUACGUGCCAGCAGCCGCGGUAAUACGUAGGGGGCCAGCGUUGUCCGGAUUCAUUGGGCGUAAAGCGCGUGUAGGCGGCCAGGUAGGUCCGAUGUGAAAACUGGAGGCUCAACCUCCAGCUGUCAUUGGAAACCAUCUGGCUAGAGUCCGGAAGAGGAGAGUGAAAUUCCUGGUGUAGCGGUGAAAUGCGCAGAUAUCAGGAAGAACACCAAUGGCGAAGGCAGCUCUCUGGGACGGUACUGACGCUGAGACGCGAAAGCGUGGGGAGCGAACAGG
This 428-nucleotide ribosomal RNA is filed under the name uncultured bacterium. Its description in RNAcentral is "bacterial SSU rRNA". It matches the Rfam family "Bacterial small subunit ribosomal RNA", at positions 355 to 776 of the family's 1533-position model. The record is from RNAcentral.